Ailuropoda melanoleuca (giant panda) is the source of this 4403-nucleotide long non-coding RNA. RefSeq lists it as uncharacterized. The record is from RefSeq and is a predicted model, not a curated record. The transcript is spliced from 2 exons. Lineage: Eukaryota; Metazoa; Chordata; Mammalia; Carnivora; Ursidae.
GAGGAAAACCCUCAAGCUGAAUGAAAUCCCAAUAGAGAGAAUAAUAGAGAAAGUCUGGGCUGCAAUAUGAUCCAUGCUGAACUUUAAAGGUGGGCCUCUUAAAGAAAGUUCUGGAAAAAUGUUACUGCCUCACCCCUAACUCCCUCAACCCCCAUUUAUAUCUAUGCCUAAACUAUUCUAUAUAAUGAAAACAUCUGUUCUAUAGGCUUUUAUGAAAAAAUGAAUAUGAUCUCUUUUGUCCUCCUUUAAAUUCUUUAAAAUUAGAGUGGUUCCUGAACAAAUCCUUUUCUAAAUUGUACAUUUUGCAACAAUUCAAAAAUUGUCACAAGUUCUCUUUUGCGAAACAUUUAUUAAAAAGGUUCCCCAAGUUAUCUUUCGUAAAAACAAUUUACUUUUUAAAUUACCCUUUUGAUUAUCCCCAAACUGGUAUAAAGAACAUAGAAGUUAUCUCUUCUAUUCAUAGUUUUUAGUUACAAUAUAAAAAGCAAGGAUAAAUUUAGUUAUCUUCUCCCCUUAGAUGACAUAAUAAAGCCAUCCUUUGUUUUUUUCUAUUGUGACCUGAAGGCUUGCAUAUUAAUUAUUUUUAAUAGAACAAGAGAUAUUUAAAACCUAUAUAGUUCCUUUUACACAAGGAAACUGAAAAAAAACACAUUAGGUAAUAACAGAAGCUUAUUUUCUCAAGAAUUAUAUUUUUACUAAUUGAUGCCUUACUAAAGAAGAAAGAUAGCUAUAAGGGACUCUGGCAAUGUUUAAGUUUUUCCGAAAAAUUUUUUUCAACUCUGUAUAAACAGAAUUUCACAACUUGCUUUCAUUUCAUGUAUAUUUAAUGUCUUUCUUCACAUUAAAGGGCCUUUUUGAUUCUAAGAAACUAACCAUCACUGCUCACCCCCCAAUUUUCUCCCUCAGGAUGACUUUUAGUCUGGAGAUAGAGGGGACCCGAUGGUGUCCUUGGCAUAAGUACAGGAAUAGGAAUCUUAAGAACUGAUUUGUAGAGGGUCACCCAAGGAGUGCCUGCAAGUGCUCGGGGGCACCCCGACAACCCAUUUUUGUUGCAAACUUUUAACAAAUGUAAAGGAAUUGUACUUAUUUUUAAAUUGCAUGAGCUAAAUUAAGGACCAAAAGUAAAAGCUCACUUUAUAAACCCCUGCUGGCUGAAGGCAGGAUAGGAUGGUCGUUUAUACGCUGGUAGAGAUACCGGCAUGUAUACACACACAUCGUAAAAUAACCUUAUCUCUUUCCAGGGUAAUUAGAGCAAUGUUUAACUUUAUUUUGAUAUCACUUUAUAAGGAGAUAUACAAAUAUUUUAGAGGUCAUGGGAUCUAUUCCAGAGGAAACUAACCAACAGUGACAUCUUCAACUAAAACUACCCCUGGAUAUGAUGGAAAUAAAAGGAAAAUACAACUUGAUAAUGUGAAAAAGUUCACUCAUCCACCAGCGUCCAUCCUUUCUAAAGAGAAGCCAAAGCUUUCAAUUACUCUACAAGAGAUCUGCUCUUUAAAAACAUCCCAUUUUCCUCUUUUCUAAGGAGACUAUCUCACCCAGCACAUAUAGGUCCACAUAAUAGCUAAGCGACCAUCACUCAGAAAUUCCAACUUAAAAUAAUUAGAAGGUCAGACUCUAACCUGAAAGGAGACAGGAAAUUGUCUUUAGUGAAGAGAGAAACUUUCUUACUUGGUUUCUUCUAUUUUUUUCACCUUAGUGUGCUGCAAACUAUGUAAAUAGGAAUAUUUACCCAGAUUUUGAAAGUAUCUUACUGAAAGCUUCAUCAGUUUUAAUAAAUAGAGAUAAUGAAGUAAAUUAAGGAAAAUAAUUAAAUCUUCAUUUUGAAUUUCCUGACCUAUCGUGACAGCCAGUUUCCUGAAGUUGCGUUAGUUUAAUUUUAAAGGAUUUAGAAGAUAGUUCUUUUAUUACAUUUUUUUCUUAAGAUAAUAAAUAAAAGACAAAAGAAAAUAAGGUGUAAUAAGCAUAUUAAAAAUUACAUGGUAUGAUAAUAAUGUAAACAGCUCUUUUAUAUUUUAGCUAGUAUUUUAAGUAAUAACGAAUUGAUAUUCACUCUAGCUGGGAGAUGGAAAAAAAGUCUUAAAUGUUUUUUUCAGCAUUCUGUCUUUUUAACAAGAUUAAGGGCAGGUUCAACAUAACUAUGAAGUAUGCAUAUGCCACAUACUAUAAUUGUAGUUUAAAAAGCUUUAGAAACAUAAAUUUUUCAAAAGUCUUAUGAAGAGUAGUCAUUUUUCAGCAAGAUUUUUUCCCCCUGGAAAAAAGUUAUGGUUUUUCAGGCUCAAAUAUUUUUGGAUUAUCUUGGUUUAAUAGAGCUGUUUCAUAUUAAAAAUAGAACAUAUAAACUCACAAAUAUUUCUUUCUAUUUUUUCAGGUUGCAUGCAUCAUUCCUUUAAUUGAGCAGAGUUAACUGGAUCAAAUUAUUUAUGGGAGAGAGAGGGAAAGCUAUACAGAAUUACAGUAAUUUUUAAUUUCCACCAAUAUACGCUUUGUAAGUGAAUCACUCUAAAUAUUUUCUGUUACACUGAAUGCAGCAACAAUAACAAAAUAGUUUCAUAAGGUAUUUGUUUUUGCAUACUCUGACCUUGUAAUUAUAUAAAUAGCAGCCAAGUUUACUGAUGUUUUUGAUUCUGUCAGAAAAAAAAAAUGUUCUCUACUCAGAAUGAUGAACAGAAACAGAAUCAUUUAUUUUCUUGAAAUCAAAUAAAUAAAUGGAAAAUUGCUCUUAUCAACUCUUUGUUAAAACUGUACCAUAUCUAACCAAUGCAUAAAAGUUCAGAUGUGUAGAAAGCUGUAAUUUUUUCAGUCUCUAAAAACAUUUUCCUCUCCAUAAAGUUCCUGUUUGCUAUUUUCUAAGAAUUUUAUAAUUAAAGGGAAAUAAGAAACUAUGUGUUUUCUUUAAAAUUCUUUGGAAAAAGUCCCAAACUACACACUCCUUGGACAAUAAGGUUUUGUUUUGUUUUUAAAGAAAUCCCACUUACUGGAAUUUUGACUAUCUAAAUAUUUUGUUUUUUUAAAGAACAGGAGAAUUUAUUAAAUACCUCCAUGGAUGUGAAUUGAUCAUUUAUAUUAAAAUAGCCAGUAGGAUUAUCCUUGAGCCAUGAGAAUUACAUUUUCUAUCUGUGUAUUUAACACCAUUAACUCUCUCUUAUAUAAAUUAUAAGAAAAUUUUCCAAGGGGUCUGGUUUUACUUUUUGGAUAUGAAAUGAAGCUUCCUUUCCUAUGUUUAAGGUACGAUUCUGUAACUAUACUCUACUCCCAUGUCCAGAACACAUUCUGAGCAGCACUGUGGGUAAUGACUUUUUAGUUCAUACCCUUUUGAUUCAUCGCAGGGUGCUGCAGUUAAUUGAGAGGGGGAGCACGUAAGCUUACAACUGUUUCUUAUUUGGUUUUCACAUCCAUACUUAAAAACUUUGCAUUGAAAAGAAUAUGAGAAAUUCAAAUUAGUUCCCACCGCUUUGUGAAGUAUUGGCAAAACUACAUCCCCUUGUAAAAUACCACUAUCAAAGCAUCGGAUACCAAAGUUGGCUGGUCGAACUGCCAGAUACAUUAGGCUCAUUAAUUAUUUUGAAAAUGGCCGCCGUUUCCAUGUAAAUGACAAGUUUCUUUUUCAUGGGCAAGGCUAUGGUACUUAUCUACUACAAGAAACAUGUAUAAACAUAGUCUUUAUCUUUAACUUCAGCAUUAAAAUAUGCAGUUUUUGUGAAGAGGAAAAACAUCUGGUUCAAUUACUCUGAACUCUGACUGCAUGUGGGCCAGUAAUCAUAAUAUGAAUUGGAUUUAAGAAUAAACCUUGUGUUUAAUCUUUUUUUUUGUUUUGUUUUUUUCCUUAAAAUGCAAUGUGAGUUUUCUGUUAACGUCCAUUAUCCAUGUUAGCACAUUUGGAACAAAUGUAAAAGUGUACUUUCUGAAUAAAGUCAAAAGUCUACCUUGUUUUAGUUCCAUAAUGUUUUAAUGUUUAAUUCUAUUGUGUGUUUUUCUCCCUUUCCCCUCACCCUCCAAAAUCACCAAAUCUGGAAAACAGACUGAUUGUGUCUGCCCAUGAGCAAAGGAAACCCGAAGGAACCAAGGGCCUGGCUGGACGGAGUUGUCAUGUGUCUGCCUGUCUACACUUGCUGUGCAGAACAUCCGCUCACCUGUACAGCAGGCACAGACAGGCAGUCACAUGACAACCCAGCCUGAAUGACAACCAGCCAUUGAGAGAAAGCAGCCCUCACACCAUAGCAUCUACACCAAGAGCUACAACCAAAAUGAGGGGCGCGGGGGCCUGGGGGUUGGAUCUGUUGGUUUAAUACUUAAUUCGUAUGUAUUAUUUUAUUAUUAUUUUUGAUUCGAAUAUUGAAACCCACCAAAAGUAAAGUGAGUGGUGCCUAUGAAAUAUAAUAAAACCCAUUUCUGAAAAUGUU